Molecule: transfer RNA, 72 nt
Filed under: Streptomyces sp.
Lineage: Bacteria; Bacillati; Actinomycetota; Actinomycetes; Kitasatosporales; Streptomycetaceae
Description: tRNA-Ser
Rfam family: tRNA
About the family: Transfer RNA (tRNA) molecules are approximately 80 nucleotides in length. Their secondary structure includes four short double-helical elements and three loops (D, anti-codon, and T loops). Further hydrogen bonds mediate the characteristic L-shaped molecular structure. tRNAs have two regions of fundamental functional importance: the anti-codon, which is responsible for specific mRNA codon recognition, and the 3' end, to which the tRNAs corresponding amino acid is attached (by aminoacyl-tRNA synthetases). tRNAs cope with the degeneracy of the genetic code in two manners: having more than one tRNA (with a specific anti-codon) for a particular amino acid; and 'wobble' base-pairing, i.e. permitting non-standard base-pairing at the 3rd anti-codon position.
Source: RNAcentral
GCCCCUGUAGCUCAAAUGCCAGAGCACCGCCCUGCUAAGGCGGGUGUGCAGGUUCAAGUCCUGCCGGGGGCA